AGAACGAACGCUGGCGGCAUGCCUAACACAUGCAAGUCGAACGCGUGUAGCGAUACACGAGUGGCGGACGGGUGAGUAACGCGUGGGAACCUGCCCUGGAGUGGGGGAUAACCGAUGGAAACGUCGGCUAAUACCGCAUACGACCUGAGGGUGAAAGAUUUAUCGCUCUAGGAGGGGCCCGCGUCGGAUUAGCUAGUUGGUGAGGUAAUGGCUCACCAAGGCUAUGAUCCGUAGCUGGUCUGAGAGGAUGAUCAGCCACACUGGGACUGAGACACGGCCCAGACUCCUACGGGAGGCAGCAGUGGGGAAUAUUGGACAAUGGGGGCAACCCUGAUCCAGCAAUGCCGCGUGAGUGAUGAAGGCCUUAGGGUUGUAAAGCUCUUUCGCCCACGACGAUGAUGACGGUAGUGGAGAAGAAGCCCGGCUAACUUCGUGCCAGCAGCCGC
RNAcentral lists this ribosomal RNA (446 nucleotides) under uncultured bacterium. RNAcentral describes it as "SSU rRNA". It matches the Rfam family "Bacterial small subunit ribosomal RNA", at positions 26 to 518 of the family's 1533-position model. The record is from RNAcentral.